NNNNNNUCCCCGCCCUCGCCCUCUUCCCUUUCUUUCCCCGCGCCUUUGUCUCCGCCUCCCAACCCCCUUUGUGUCUCUGGGAAGACUCAGCCUCAGACAGCAGCGACCCCACCCGGCCGGCUGUCGGGGACCCCACAGACCCCGAGACGCACGUCUGGGGCAGAAGUUAGUGGCAGUGAGGACGCCACCCUCACACUUGGCAUCUUUCCUGCUCCCUUUUCCUUCCCCCAGCGCUCCCCCUUCCUCUUCAUCUCCUUCUCCAAGAAGGAGGACCUGCUGCUGACAUUAUCACGUUGGCCUAAAGUAGUUCUCUCCCCUUUCUGAAUGCGUAUUUGUGGUCACUUUAAUGAUUACAAAACCAAAACCUGUCCACCCGCUCAGGCUGCUAAGAAGAGGCUCUUCAGCAGGUGCGGCAGCACUGGCUCCAUGACUGGAGCCCAACACGGAGCUUGAACUUACUACCCGGAGAUCAAGACUUGAGCUGAGAUCAAGAGUUGGAUGCUUAACUGACUGAGCCACCCAGCUGUGCUCUCAGGAGCAGGUGGCCUUCCAGGAGACUCCAGCAGGGCAAAAGAGACAGACAUGGAGGCAGCUGGCUGGCUUGGACUGCUUUGUCCUUGGAAAGACCCACAGAAUUUUCCCCACACUCCAUAGGCUGGAACUAGUCACAUGGCCCCACAACAGCGAAGGAGACUGGGAUACAGAGUGGAGCAUGUGGAUAUUUGCCCACUGCGCCUGAGAGGGGAGUCUCCCGGGGACGGUCACAGAGGCUGCCACCACCAGUGGGCUCAGAAGCAGAGAACGGCAAGGUCCGGCUGGACCAUCUGGCCAAGAACAUUGACCUCUCAGCAGUGACCUUCGGGGACUGAAGACGGUGAGUCAGCUGCUCCCUGUCUCUCCUGUCCUGGAGAGGUGAGGACUCAGUAAACAAGUGACUUGCAUUAUAGGAAAAUAUUUUCUGGCAUGCCUGAGAUUGUGGAGGCAUUGGAAGACCUACUCCUCACAGAAAUGUGGUAAAGGACGGCUCAGGAAACAAAUAGGGAGAGGAUAAGGAGAGGAGCAGGUUAGGAGCUCGGGCAGGAGCCCCCUCUACUGACAUGUUGCCCUCACUGAAGGGUGGUGAGAACCUCCUGGUUCUAGUCCAGGCUGCUGUUUCAUGGAAGGCAAAGACCACUCAAAGUCUUUGGUGAGUGGCAACAAAUUUGGGGGAAUAAAUAGCCCAGCUGGGG
This 1229-nucleotide long non-coding RNA is filed under the name Mustela putorius furo (domestic ferret). RNAcentral's name for it is "lncRNA (ENSMPUG00000030272.1)". The record is from RNAcentral. Lineage: Eukaryota; Metazoa; Chordata; Mammalia; Carnivora; Mustelidae.